RNAcentral lists this ribosomal RNA (266 nucleotides) under uncultured bacterium. RNAcentral describes it as "partial 16S ribosomal RNA". It matches the Rfam family "Bacterial small subunit ribosomal RNA", at positions 92 to 354 of the family's 1533-position model. The record is from RNAcentral.
CGACCGGCGCACGGGUGAGUAACACGUAUGCGACCUGCCCGUAGCAGGGGGAUAAGCGGAAGAAAUUCCGUCUAAUACCGCGUAAUAUCUUUCGGGGGCAUCCCUGAGGGAUUAAAGGAAGCGAUUCCGGCUACGGAUGGGCAUGCGGCGCAUUAGCUAGUCGGCGGGGUAACGGCCCACCGAGGCGACGAUGCGUAGGGGUUCUGAGAGGAAGGUCCCCCACACUGGUACUGAGACACGGCCCAGACUCCUACGGAAGGCAGCAG